RNAcentral lists this long non-coding RNA (306 nucleotides) under Amphimedon queenslandica. RNAcentral's name for it is "uncharacterized LOC109593153". The record is from RNAcentral. Lineage: Eukaryota; Metazoa; Porifera; Demospongiae; Haplosclerida; Niphatidae.
UAUUAUUCAAUAAUACAGAUGCAGUCCCUCCUACUACUUAUGCUACCAAAAGGAAUGUGAAAUCUAAAGUCAAGUCUGAUUGUUCCCUAAAGCAAUGUUCACAUCCUGAUGAGUCUAAUUGGGUCUUUUGUUGCAGCUGCAACCAGUGGUAUCACUGUUAUUGUUAUAAAAUUUCAUUUCAAAAGGCGAAAUCAAAAAACUUUAAAUUUACAUGUAACAACUGUAAAUAAUAACUAAUUUUAAUAAUAAUCAAUAAUGUUAGGCGUGUCCGUUUAUUGUAGAAGAAGUUAAAUAUUUUUUAUGGUA